CCUGAUGAAUGUUGGGGGGCUUUGCACGGUUGUCCAUGAUGAGAACGGAAAAAUUAUUGCUGCAGCGAACUGGAAAACUACCGGAGCUACACAGCGUCGCCAUCCAUCCCUUAUAUUAUAUUACAAUGAAUAUUCAUCGAUUCCUUUCGGGUCAUGGACGCAUCCAAUAAUCCAUCCCUUAUAUUAUAUGAAUGAAUCAAAUUCAAUUAUAUCGAUAUUGCAUCAAAGGCGUCAGACAACUUUUACAUUAUGAGUAAAAUGUUCAAAACGUUUUUUUACCGUCAAUGAGGCUUCCAAAUACUAGCAACAAUUUAUAUAACAAUUAAUAUUAUUCGUUUAUAAUAUGAAUGAAUCAAAUUCAAUUCAUAUAUAUCACAUCGAAGGCAUCAGGCAACUUUUACAUUAUGAGUGAAGCGUUCAUAAUGCUUUUUAGGGUUAAUGGGGCUUCCAAAUACCAGCAACAAUUUAUAUAACAUUUAUAUAACAAAUAAUAUAAUUCAUUGAUUCCUUUCGGAUCAUUGAGGCAUCCAAUCCAUCCCUUAUAUUAUGAAUAAAUCAAAUUCAAUUCAUAUUGAUAUCACAUCAAAGGCAUCAGGCCACUUUUACAUUAUGAGUGAAGUGUGUUCAUAAUGUUUUUAGGGUCAAUGGGUCUUCCAAUUACCAGCAACCGUUUAUAUAACAAAUAUUAUACAUUUAUUCCUUUCAGGUCAUCGAGGCAGCCUAUAAUCUCAAAAUUUUGCCUCAUAUUUGUAUUCAUUGAUUCCUUUCAGGUCAUCGAAGC
Molecule: long non-coding RNA, 781 nt
Filed under: Trifolium pratense (red clover)
Lineage: Eukaryota; Viridiplantae; Streptophyta; Magnoliopsida; Fabales; Fabaceae
Description: long non-coding RNA (TPRA_LNC004901)
Source: RNAcentral